UAAUACGUAGGGGGCAAGCGUUGUCCGGAUUUAUUGGGCGUAAAGAGCGUGUAGGCGGCCAGGUAGGUCUGACGUGAAAUCUCGAGGCUCAACCUCGAGCGGUCGUUGGAAACCGUCUGGCUAGAGUCCGGAAGAGGAGAGUGGAAUUCCUGGUGUAGCGGUGAAAUGCGCAGAUAUCAGGAAGAACACCCAUGGCGAAGGCAGCUCUCUGGGACGGUACUGACGCUGAGACGCGAAAGCGUGGGGAGCGAACAGGAUUAGAUACCCUGGUAGUCCACGCCGUAAACGAUGGGUGCUAGGUGUGGGCGGUGUCGACUCCGUCCGUGCCGCAGCUAACGCAUUAAGCACCCCGCCUGGGGAGUACGGCCGCAAGGCUA
RNAcentral lists this ribosomal RNA (377 nucleotides) under uncultured bacterium. Its description in RNAcentral is "bacterial SSU rRNA". It matches the Rfam family "Bacterial small subunit ribosomal RNA", at positions 521 to 896 of the family's 1533-position model. The record is from RNAcentral.